CCUACGGGAGGCAGCAGUAGGGAAUAUUGCUCAAUGGGGGAAACCCUGAAGCAGCAACGCCGCGUGGAGGAUGAAGGUUUUCUGAUUUUAAACUCCUUUUGUUAGAGAAGAUAAUGACGGUAUCUAACGAAUCAGCACCGGCUAACUCCGUGCCAGCAGCCGCGGUCAUACGGAGGGUGCAAGCGUUACUCGGAAUCACUGGGCGUAAAGAGCGCGUAGGCGGGAUAGCAAGUCAGAUGUGAAAUCCUAUGGCUUAACCAUAGAACUGCCUUUGAAACUGUUAUUCUAGAGUAUGGGAGAGGUAGGUGGAAUUCGUGGUGUAGGGGUAAAAUCCGUAGAGAUCAAGAGGAAUACUCAUUGCGAAGGCGACCUGCUAGAACAUAACUGACGCUGAUGCGCGAAAGCGUGGGGAGCAAACAGGAUUAGAUACCCUGGUAGUC
RNAcentral lists this ribosomal RNA (440 nucleotides) under uncultured bacterium. RNAcentral's name for it is "partial 16S ribosomal RNA". It matches the Rfam family "Bacterial small subunit ribosomal RNA", at positions 338 to 795 of the family's 1533-position model. The record is from RNAcentral.